GAGGGGGCAUGACUGAUACUAAAUUGCUAAAACAUUACUACUGUAUUAGGACAUGACCACUAAAACAUAGAUUGUUGUCCUUCAUCCUUUGGGCAGAGUCGACUCCAUUUUUGGAGACAAUAAAGAAGGACAUGAAAAAAGAAAUGCCGCAUUGAGGAAAUUCAUAUAAUGUAGGCCAGUACUGCAAAAAAGAUUUAGAAGACAUCCUGAUAACUGAUAUAAGACACCGUAAGACAAAUGGUCCAGGUAGAUCUACAAUGCCAUUAAGACAUUUUGAGUCUAAUCCAUUGAUUAUCAGUUACUAAUUAUUCUUUUCAUCGCCAUCAUUAUUGUUCUUGUAUGGUCAAGCCAACCUGAUCCGACUAACUUGCUGGUUGGUUGAUGGUGGCUAGCAAGUUCGCUGCGUGGGGGGGGGGGGGGGGGGCGGGGCGGAGCCACUCACAUAUGUUGUGGCGUAUCAGUAGUAACAGGAGAUGAGACCAUGAGGCUAUUAUGGAUAGGCGAAAGAAGACAAGAAUUGGGAAAUAGUACAUUAUAUGAAAGAGAGGCAUCUAAGUCCACUCACGUCAAUCCAAUAGUAAAGAUGUUCUUCCUGCAAAGAGAAAUAUGCACAUACAUCUGUUUACACGAUUAAAGUUUUCAUCUGCAAUGUCCAUUGUUACAAGUGUCAUCUUUAGCCUAGCUAUGUCAUGGACUAAUCAAAAUAGAAAAGGAUGGGCAUGUUAACAAAACAAAAAAAUCGAUCCAGCCCUUUACAGUAAAUGCCCAAAAUGGAUCAUCACUAAAGAAUUUGAUCUGUUUGAGAAAGCAAAAGGUUUUAACAGAAAUUACAUUUCAAUUAUCAAUAUCAACCAACAUAUUUUUUUCAUGUUUUCGUUUGGUCACAACUUCAUUAGGAUGCAUUUGUAUAUGGUAACCAUGGAAAAAUGGAUCAGAGUAGAAUCAAACCUAGUACUGAUUUUAAGAUGAAGUUGUUGCUACUUGGGACAUGAAUGCCACACACACACACACAACAAAAAGGAUAUUAGUUGGUGACUGAAUAUCAACAUUAGGGCUACGCACAUGAGAAUUCCAUACUUACAAGAAACCUAAAGGUCAUCUUCUCCUCCUUAGGACAGGAGGAAGCAUGUCAAAAUUGGGGCAAGGGAGGGAUUCAAACCCAGGUCAUUGGAAUCCAACACCCGAUAACUUUACCAACUAAAUAGUUACUGGGGCGACAUGAAUACGAUCUCCAAGAAUCAUUUACAUUCUUUUCCUUUUUAUCUACUCUUUCUAAGUCCAAGGGAUCUUGGAGUUUGCUACCAAGCAGCAUGAGCUCCCAUCAUGUGACUAAUCUUUCCAACAGAUCUUCCAGGAUUCGUGGCAAGCCUCUCUUACCCAUUCAUAAAGGAUUAACAUCAGAUG
This 1404-nucleotide long non-coding RNA is filed under the name Phoenix dactylifera (date palm). RNAcentral's name for it is "long non-coding RNA (PDAC_LNC004884)". The record is from RNAcentral. Lineage: Eukaryota; Viridiplantae; Streptophyta; Magnoliopsida; Arecales; Arecaceae.